CCCGCAACCCCCAGACCUUCCAAAACUCCACCCUUUCUCUCCCCACAUCGACGACGGCGGUCUCCUCCCUCCCUCGCCUAGGGCUCCGGUGGCGGCUCCCUCGCCUAGAGGGGCGACCGGAGAACGAUUUUGGGUGUCUGAUUUUCAAGAUUUUUGUUUGCGAUUUUGGGUGUCUGAUUUUUAUUUUCGAUUUGGGUGUAUGAUUUUGGGUGUCUGAUUUGGGUGUUUGAUUUUGGGAGGUCGUUGUUGUCGCCGUUCGG
RNAcentral lists this long non-coding RNA (260 nucleotides) under Salvia miltiorrhiza (redroot sage). RNAcentral's name for it is "long non-coding RNA (SMIL_LNC009953)". The record is from RNAcentral. Lineage: Eukaryota; Viridiplantae; Streptophyta; Magnoliopsida; Lamiales; Lamiaceae.